Molecule: non-coding RNA, 115 nt
Organism: Triticum aestivum (bread wheat)
Lineage: Eukaryota; Viridiplantae; Streptophyta; Magnoliopsida; Poales; Poaceae
Source: Rfam
CACAUACUCCCUCCGUUUCAUAUUAGUUGUCGUUUAAACGGAUGUAUUUAGCACUGAAAUAUAUCUAAAUACAUCUAUUUCAGAGACAAUUAGUAUGAAACGGAGGGAGUACGUG